CAGUCGCCGCGGGAAUACGGAGGGUGCAAGCGUUAAUCGGAAUUACUGGGCGUAAAGCGUGCGUAGACGGUUCGUUAAGUCUGUUGUGAAAGCCCCGGGCUCAACCUGGGAAUGGCAAUGGAUACUGGCGAGCUAGAGUGUGUCAGAGGAUGGUGGAAUUCCCGGUGUAGCGGUGAAAUGCGUAGAGAUCGGGAGGAACAUCAGUGGCGAAGGCGGCCAUCUGGGACAACACUGACGCUGAGGCACGAAAGCGUGGGGAGCAAACAGGAUUAGAUACCCGCGUAGUCCCUGUCUCUUAUAC
This 301-nucleotide ribosomal RNA is filed under the name uncultured bacterium. RNAcentral's name for it is "partial 16S ribosomal RNA". It matches the Rfam family "Bacterial small subunit ribosomal RNA", at positions 509 to 807 of the family's 1533-position model. The record is from RNAcentral.